This 696-nucleotide ribosomal RNA is filed under the name uncultured Actinomycetes bacterium. RNAcentral describes it as "bacterial SSU rRNA". It matches the Rfam family "Bacterial small subunit ribosomal RNA", at positions 69 to 776 of the family's 1533-position model. The record is from RNAcentral. Lineage: Bacteria; Bacillati; Actinomycetota; Actinomycetes.
AUGAUCCGGUGCUUGCACCGGGGAUUAGUGGCGAACGGGUGAGUAACACGUGAGUAACCUGCCCUUAACUCUGGGAUAAGCCUGGGAAACUGGGUCUAAUACCGGAUAUGACUCCUCAUCGCAUGGUGGGGGGUGGAAAGCUUUAUUGUGGUUUUGGAUGGACUCGCGGCCUAUCAGCUUGUUGGUGAGGUAAUGGCUUACCAAGGCGACGACGGGUAGCCGGCCUGAGAGGGUGACCGGCCACACUGGGACUGAGACACGGCCCAGACUCCUACGGGAGGCAGCAGUGGGGAAUAUUGCACAAUGGGCGCAAGCCUGAUGCAGCGACGCCGCGUGAGGGAUGACGGCCUUCGGGUUGUAAACCUCUUUCAGUAGGGAAGAAGCGAAAGUGACGGUACCUGCAGAAGAAGCGCCGGCUAACUACGUGCCAGCAGCCGCGGUAAUACGUAGGGCGCAAGCGUUAUCCGGAAUUAUUGGGCGUAAAGAGCUCGUAGGCGGUUUGUCGCGUCUGCCGUGAAAGUCCGGGGCUCAACUCCGGAUCUGCGGUGGGUACGGGCAGACUAGAGUGAUGUAGGGGAGACUGGAAUUCCUGGUGUAGCGGUGAAAUGCGCAGAUAUCAGGAGGAACACCGAUGGCGAAGGCAGGUCUCUGGGCAUUAACUGACGCUGAGGAGCGAAAGCAUGGGGAGCGAACAGG